This 115-nucleotide ribosomal RNA is filed under the name Muribaculaceae bacterium Isolate-013 (NCI). RNAcentral's name for it is "partial 16S ribosomal RNA". It matches the Rfam family "Bacterial small subunit ribosomal RNA", at positions 1 to 103 of the family's 1533-position model. The record is from RNAcentral. Lineage: Bacteria; Pseudomonadati; Bacteroidota; Bacteroidia; Bacteroidales; Muribaculaceae.
AACAACGAAGAGUUUGAUCCUGGCUCAGGAUGAACGCUAGCGACAGGCUUAACACAUGCAAGUCGAGGGGCAGCGGGGGAGGAAGCUUGCUUUCUCCUGCCGGCGACCGGCGCAC